GGUUCAAUAGCUCAGUGGUUACAGCGCUGGUCUAAUAAACCAGAGGUCGCGAGUUCAAUCCUCGCUGGAGCCA
Molecule: transfer RNA, 73 nt
Filed under: Astyanax mexicanus (Mexican tetra)
Lineage: Eukaryota; Metazoa; Chordata; Actinopteri; Characiformes; Acestrorhamphidae
Rfam family: tRNA
About the family: Transfer RNA (tRNA) molecules are approximately 80 nucleotides in length. Their secondary structure includes four short double-helical elements and three loops (D, anti-codon, and T loops).
Source: Rfam by way of RNAcentral